AGGAGGAACAGCCCCAGUGGCAGGGCCAGCUCUGCAGCCCUGGAGUCAGCCCCCGCAGUAACCGCAGAGCUCUCCGUCUGCAGGGCCUAGAGGCUCCGGGCGGGG
RNAcentral lists this microRNA precursor (105 nucleotides) under Canis lupus familiaris (dog). RNAcentral describes it as "mir-8834 microRNA precursor family". It matches the Rfam family "mir-8834 microRNA precursor family". Lineage: Eukaryota; Metazoa; Chordata; Mammalia; Carnivora; Canidae. The record is from Rfam by way of RNAcentral.